AGCGGCAGGCUUAUACAUGCAAGUCGAGGGGGAUUAGCUGGGUAGCAAUACUCGGCUAUGAGACCGGCAAACGGGUGCGGAACACGUACGCAACCUUCCCAAAACUGGUGAAUAGCCCUCCGAAAGGAGGAUUAAUGCACCGUAACAUAUAGAGAUGGCAUCAUUUUUAUAUUAUAGCUACGGCGGUUUUGGAUGGGCGUGCGCCUGAUUAGGUAGUUGGUGAGGGUAACGGCCCACCAAGCCUUCGAUCAGUAACUGGUGUGAGAGCACGACCAGUCACACGGGCACUGAGACACGGGCCCGACUCCUACGGGAGGCAGCAGUAAGGAAUAUUGGUCAAUGGACGCAAGUCUGAACCAGCCAUGCCGCGUGAAGGAUGACGGCCCUCUGGGUUGUAAACUUCUUUUAUCUGGGACGAAAAAAGGGCUUUCUAGCUCGACUGACGGUACCAGAGGAAUAAGCACCGGCUAACUCCGUGCCAGCAGCCGCGGUAAUACGGAGGGUGCAAGCGUUAUCCGGAUUUACUGGGUUUAAAGGGUGCGUAGGUGGGUCUGUAAGUCAGUGGUGAAAUCUCCGAGCUUAACUCGGAAACUGCCAUUGAUACUAUAGGUCUUGAAUUAUCUGGAGGUAAGCGGAAUAUGUCAUGUAGCGGUGAAAU
RNAcentral lists this ribosomal RNA (658 nucleotides) under uncultured bacterium. RNAcentral's name for it is "bacterial SSU rRNA". It matches the Rfam family "Bacterial small subunit ribosomal RNA", at positions 38 to 687 of the family's 1533-position model. The record is from RNAcentral.